Molecule: ribosomal RNA, 439 nt
Filed under: uncultured bacterium
Lineage: Bacteria
Description: bacterial SSU rRNA
Rfam family: Bacterial small subunit ribosomal RNA
Source: RNAcentral
GCAGUGGGGAAUUUUGGACAAUGGGCGAAAGCCUGAUCCAGCCAUUCCGCGUGAGUGAAGAAGGCCUUCGGGUUGUAAAGCUCUUUCGCAAGGGAAGAAAACUUACUUUCUAAUAAAGAGUGAGGCUGACGGUACCUUGAUAAGAAGCACCGGCUAACUACGUGCCAGCAGCCGCGGUAAUACGUAGGGUGCGAGCGUUAAUCGGAAUUACUGGGCGUAAAGCGUGCGCAGGCGGUUUGGCAAGUCAGAUGUGAAAUCCCCGAGCUCAACUUGGGAACUGCGUUUGAAACUGCCAGACUAGAAUAUGUCAGAGGGGGGUAGAAUUCCACGUGUAGCAGUGAAAUGCGUAGAGAUGUGGAGGAAUACCAAUGGCGAAGGCAGCCCCCUGGGAUAAUAUUGACGCUCAUGCACGAAAGCGUGGGGAGCAAACAGGAUUAGA